Molecule: long non-coding RNA, 1277 nt
Organism: Myxocyprinus asiaticus (Chinese sucker)
Lineage: Eukaryota; Metazoa; Chordata; Actinopteri; Cypriniformes; Catostomidae
Exons: 4
Source: RefSeq, a predicted model, not a curated record
AACAAACACCCUUAACAACUCACUACUAAACCCAAGAACAACAGGACAUAUUCACAAAUUAUAGGUGUUCAGAUAAGCCAAAUUAUGCAUGAAACCCUGACAACACUGCUCAGCGCGCAUCUGCGCUGUGAAGACAGUUACUUCAUUUUUGUAUUCUGAAUGCUCUACUGAUGGAAAUGAAUGACUUCCGAUCUAUCAUCUGUUGUUUGUCAGAUGCAGUGAAAAGGCGGCUUUAUGAAUUUCACCUGGCAGACGAAAAAUGACUUACAAUGAAGGAGGGACCCAAGAUACUGAGAGAUCAGGAUAUCACAGAGACCAAAAAUCACCCAGAACACCCUGGCCUAGUUUUUCAUGUGGAACUAUUGACGUGAAGGAUUUUAUUAACAUUGCUGACAUUUUGUCCACACAAAAACACUAAAACUGGACAAACACACACGUGUCUCUUACCUUCAUGAGGUCAAGCAAGACAGGGCUGAUGAUUCCAAGAUAUCUCCUCUCCAGAGUCUGGGGAUGACUUACUGAGGGAAACUACACACGCACACACAAAAUCAGCAGAGACAGACGAGGUAGAGUUUCCCCCGCCGCCGAAACGCCUCCUUCAGCUCUACGAUGUUUUCCUGCUUGAGCGUACGGAGCAUCUUCAGCUCCCGCAUGGUCGUCUCCUUCACCUCCUCAUUUUCUGAAUCGAGAGAAAAACCGAUCGACAGAUAAAGGACAGCAGGACGUGAGUUUGCAGACUUCACCUCCUGAUCUAUGGCUAAAACACGUGUCUGCUCACCGUCUGUUUCUGGGUUCAGUCCCCAGAGUGAGAAACACAGAAUGAGAACACGGAAAGAGGGCAAGGGGGAAAAUGUCGCAGAGAGAAGACUAGUGUGACACUAGAACCAAAGACCUGCAGUUCUUCUGAUAUAAUCAGCACACCUGAUUGCUUAGAGAGAUGAAUAUACUAACUAUUGCCAAAUAAACUAUACUUGAUGCCUAAAAGAUCAUGUGUAAUUUCAGGAAAUGGCCAAACAAGCCCAAAGCUGAGAGAUGGAGUUCAUACAGUACCAGUCAAAAGUUGACCGAAUUUAUGUGUCUCAUGGGCAUAAAGACCUUUGUAUGCUUGAAAUUAGUUUAGUAGACAAAGACUUUGAUGUUAAGAUUUUCAGUGAAUAAAGACUUUGAAUUCGAAUUACGUUCUGUUCCUCACAGCUAUCGCACAGUUUCAGAAGACAUGGACUAUAGUGCACAAGUCACAUGGACCACAUUUAUAAUACCUUUAUGGUGCUUUUUCG